AGGUUCAUGAGUGUUUUAGAGAUAUAUGGUGAUUAUGGGGGCAUUUUGGAGAAAAAUCUAGAAGAAACUCGUAGCUACCCAUCGAACCAGUCUAGAGUCGACAUUUAGAGUCAACCGUCGAUCGACGGACAACUCUUGUCAUCAAUCGACAGCGAAGCGCGCAAAGUCCGACUUGGUUCCCAGCCGACUUAUGGACCAAGUUCCACAUCAUUUACAAGAUUACCCCUGGCCGACUUUAACCUAAUAUUUAUGUGCUCUGCCA
This 262-nucleotide long non-coding RNA is filed under the name Brassica napus (rape). RNAcentral's name for it is "long non-coding RNA (BNAP_LNC011820)". The record is from RNAcentral. Lineage: Eukaryota; Viridiplantae; Streptophyta; Magnoliopsida; Brassicales; Brassicaceae.